AUUUUCAAGUAUUUGGUUUCAUUGGACGUUGAAGAUUGUCAAGAUUUGAAGUCAGGCUACUCCAUUAUAUUUAACUUCUCUCCUAACCCAUAUUUUGAAGACACAAAGCUUGUGAAGACUUAUUCCUUCACUGAGGAAGGAGUGGCUAAUAUAACCGGUACGACUAUCAAGUGGAAGGAGGGAGAUUGCCAAUGGUAAUGGUCAUGAGAAGAAGGGAAGCAAGCGACCUUUUACUGAGGAAAGGUUGGCUUUAGUACCAUGUAAUCUUGUUUUAUAAGCAAUUGCUGGAUAUUUAACUGAUUUUGUCACGUUGAGUAU
Phoenix dactylifera (date palm) is the source of this 318-nucleotide non-coding RNA. The record is from RefSeq and is a predicted model, not a curated record. NCBI's taxonomy places the organism in Eukaryota, Viridiplantae, Streptophyta, Magnoliopsida, Arecales, Arecaceae.